GCCCAGGUGGCGGAAUUGGUAGACGCGCUGGCUUCAGGUGCCAGUGGCCAUUAUGGUCGUGGAAGUUCGAGUCUUCUCCUGGGCACCA
This 88-nucleotide transfer RNA is filed under the name Alphaproteobacteria bacterium. Its description in RNAcentral is "tRNA-Leu". It matches the Rfam family "tRNA". From Rfam's summary of the family: Transfer RNA (tRNA) molecules are approximately 80 nucleotides in length. Their secondary structure includes four short double-helical elements and three loops (D, anti-codon, and T loops). Lineage: Bacteria; Pseudomonadati; Pseudomonadota; Alphaproteobacteria. RNAcentral also lists the same sequence under 4 other names. The record is from RNAcentral.